CCUACGGGAGGCAGCAGUGAGGAAUAUUGGUCAAUGGGCGCGAGCCUGAACCAGCCAAGUAGCGUGAAGGAUGACUGCCCUACGGGGUGUAAACUUCUGUUAUAAAGGAAUAAAGUGAGGCACGUGUGCCUUUUUGUAUGUACUUUAUGAAUAAGGAUCGGCUAACUCCGUGCCCGCAGCCGCGGUAAUACGGAGGAUCCGAGCUUUAUCCGGCUUUAUUGGGUUUAAAGGGAGCGUUGCUGGGUUGUUAAGUCAGUUGUGAAAGGUUGCGGCUCAACCGUACAAUUGCAUUUGAUACUGGCAGUCUUGAGUACAUUUGAGGUAGGCGGAAUUCGUGGUGUCGCGGUGACAUGCUUCGAUAUCAC
This 365-nucleotide ribosomal RNA is filed under the name uncultured bacterium. Its description in RNAcentral is "partial 16S ribosomal RNA". It matches the Rfam family "Bacterial small subunit ribosomal RNA", at positions 338 to 700 of the family's 1533-position model. The record is from RNAcentral.